Molecule: ribosomal RNA, 320 nt
Filed under: uncultured fungus
Lineage: Eukaryota; Fungi
Description: SSU rRNA
Rfam family: Eukaryotic small subunit ribosomal RNA
Source: RNAcentral
GCGAAUUAGGCUGCGAGCAUCCUGCUCCGUGGGCUCUUCUUAGAGGGACUAUGGGUUUCAAACCCAUGGAAGUUUGAGGCAACAACAGGUCUGUGAUGCCCUUAGACGUUCUGGGCCGCACGCGCGCUACACUGACGGAGCCAGCAAGUAUAUCCUUGGUCGAGAGGCCCGGGUAAUCUCGUGAAACUCCGUCGUGCUGGGGAUAGAGCAUUGUAAUUUUUGCUCUUCAACGAGGAAUUCCUAGUAAGCGCAAGUCAUCAGCUUGCGUUGAUUACGUCCCUGCCCUUUGUACACACCGCCCGUCGCUACUACCGGUGAGA